UCCCCCUCCUCCCUCUCUCCCCCUCCUCCCUCUCCACUUCCUCUUUUUCCUCUUCUUUCUACUCAUCAUCACCAAUAGAUUUUCAUUUUUAGGACAGUUUUAGAUGCACAGCACAAUCAAGCAGAAGAGACAGAAAGUUCCCCCAACCCCCCUCCCCAAACACACCCAGCCCCCUCCACCGCCACCACCCAAACCACAGCAGCACCUGCCUGCGUUGACACAGCAGUGUCACCCAGAGUUCACAGUGUCCCUCGAUGUGUACGUUCUGUGGGUUUGCACGUACGUACGGUGACAUGUCCCAUCGUUACGGUGGGUUUCACCGCCCUGAAAAUGCUCCGUGCUCCCCCUGCUCAUCCCUCCUCCCCCACCGCUGCAAACCGCUGACCUUUUUAUUGUGACCGUACUGUUGCCUUUUCCAGAACUGCGUGUCGCACAGUUGGAAUCACAAAGCAUGUUGCUUUUUCAAAGUUGCUGCUUUCACUUAGUAACACGCAUUUAAGGUUCCUCCACGCCUCUUUAUGGCUUGAUAGCUCAUUUCUUUUUAGUGCUGGAUACCAUUGCGUUGCCUGGCAUAACACCGUUUGUGUAUCCGUUCACCUACUGAAGGACACAUCUUGGUUGCUCCCGAGCUUUGGCAUUUUGAGUAAAGCUGCUCUCUCAGACGUUUGCGUGCGGGUUUUGGUAUGGAUGUAAGUUUCCAUUCAUUUGUGCAAAUACCGAGGAGUGUGGUUGCUAGAUUGCACGGUAGGAACAUUUUUAGUUUGGUGAGAAGAAGCGACCAGACGGUCUUCCCGAGCGCCCGCACCCCUCGCGCCCCGCCCCCCCCCUCCCCCCCCAGCAGUGAAUGAGCGCUUCUGUCUAUCGACGUCCACGCCAGCGCUCCAUGUCAUCACUGCUCAGGACGCGGGCCGUUCUCACAGGUGUGAAGGGCUAUCUCGCCGUCCUCGUCCGCAAUUCCGUAGUGACCUGUGACGCUGAGCGUCCUCGCUCAGCUUGCUUGCCAUCCGUGCAUCUCUCUUGGUGAGGUUUCUGUCCCGAUCUUCUCACUUCCCAGCCGGAGCGGGUUGUUUUCCUCCUGUUGGUUUUUAAGAGUUCUUUGUACGUUUCGGCUAGCGCUCCUUUAUCAGAGGUGUCUGUGGCAGCCUGUGGCUUGCCUUCUCGUUCUCUGAUCUCCCCUGCUUUCCCUUCUAAUAAUCAUCCUUCCGUGCUCCCCACCAUCAGUAUCAGUGUGCCCCUUUCCCUGUGAUGUUGGGCUGGUUCGGUUUGCCUGUAAUGUUUCAUCAGGUGUUUUCUUUAGAGGUUAGUGGAAUGCUUGCAUGCAUUUCAGCCACUCUACACGGUAUGGAAAUGCGUCCUCAGAAUCCUCAACUCUUCUGUUACAUAAUUGGUCAGAAGCCUGAGCAAUUCGUCCAAGUACUUUAUUACACAUUGUGCCACAUUUAGAACGGGUGAAAUACCUUAUAAGCAAUAUCUUACAGGCGUUCUAAACUUAAUUCUAAUUAAUAAGCAUUCAGGAAUGUGCAGAAGUUCUUAUGAAUAAUAACUCUCCCUGUCCCAUGUCACUGGCAACAUCUGCAAUUGACAGCUGGGGGAGUAACCCCGUUGCCUGUUUGCUUCUGUGUUUAUUGGCUAGAGUAACCCUGUGCAAGGGGGAACGUACCCACCCCCAGAUAAGAAGACACGUAAGCCCCAGCACACAAUGCAGAUCAGUAUCCGGGGGGAGGCUGGCUGGCUCUCCCUACUUUUUCGCAGGCAUAUUAUGGGAAGCCGCACCUCCCCAAAAGGCAGGAUCGCCUUUGGCUGAGACCCCGUCACAUCUGAUUCUUGAGGCGUGGACCUGGUCGCAGACACCUGUUGGAGUUUCCUGUCCCCUGCACCUGUGCAGACUCGCCCCUGUCUCCUGGCCCCCACAGAACAUCUGUGUCACCCUGGUUGGUCCCCUCUGCUCUGGGCUCCAUGAGGGAAGGAAUGGUGACUGUUGGUUAUGGUUAAUAUCAUAAUGGUGCCCAGUAAAUGCUUCUUGAAUGCA
Felis catus (domestic cat) is the source of this 2029-nucleotide long non-coding RNA. RefSeq lists it as uncharacterized. NCBI's taxonomy places the organism in Eukaryota, Metazoa, Chordata, Mammalia, Carnivora, Felidae. The record is from RefSeq and is a predicted model, not a curated record. The transcript has 2 exons.